RNAcentral lists this ribosomal RNA (119 nucleotides) under Propithecus coquereli (Coquerel's sifaka). Lineage: Eukaryota; Metazoa; Chordata; Mammalia; Primates; Indriidae. The record is from RNAcentral.
GUCUACGGCCAUACCACCCUGAAUGCACCCGAUCUCAUCUGAUCUCGGAAGCUAAGCAGGGUCGGGCCUGGUAGAUACUUUGACAGAACAUUAGUACUAAUAUGACAUUACCGUAAGUG